Molecule: ribosomal RNA, 800 nt
Filed under: uncultured Clostridium sp.
Lineage: Bacteria; Bacillati; Bacillota; Clostridia; Eubacteriales; Clostridiaceae
Description: bacterial SSU rRNA
Rfam family: Bacterial small subunit ribosomal RNA
Source: RNAcentral
AGAGUUUGAUCCUGGCUCAGAACGAACGCUGGCGGCAGGCUUAACACAUGCAAGUCGAGCGCCCCGCGAGGGGAGCGGCGGACGGGUGAGUAACACGUGGGUAACCUGCCUCAAAGAGGGGGAUAGCCUCCCGAAAGGGAGAUUAAUACCGCAUAACAUUAGUUUUUCGCAUGAAGGACUAAUUAAAGGAGUAAUCCGCUUUGAGAUGGACCCGCGGCGCAUUAGCUAGUUGGUGAGGUAAAGGCUCACCAAGGCGACGAUGCGUAGCCGACCUGAGAGGGUGAUCGGCCACAUUGGAACUGAGACACGGUCCAGACUCCUACGGGAGGCAGCAGUGGGGAAUAUUGCACAAUGGGCGAAAGCCUGAUGCAGCAACGCCGCGUGAGUGAUGAAGGCCUUCGGGUUGUAAAGCUCUGUCUUUUGGGACGAUAAUGACGGUACCAAAGGAGGAAGCCACGGCUAACUACGUGCCAGCAGCCGCGGUAAUACGUAGGUGGCGAGCGUUGUCCGGAUUUACUGGGCGUAAAGGAUGCGUAGGCGGAUAUUUAAGUGAGAUGUGAAAUACCCGGGCUUAACUUGGGUGCUGCAUUUCAAACUGGAUAUCUAGAGUGCGGGAGAGGAGAAUGGAAUUCCUAGUGUAGCGGUGAAAUGCGUAGAGAUUAGGAAGAACACCAGUGGCGAAGGCGAUUCUCUGGACCGUAACUGACGCUGAGGCAUGAAAGCGUGGGUAGCAAACAGGAUUAGAUACCCUGGUAGUCCACGCCGUAAACGAUGAGUACUAGGUGUAGGGGGGUCCAACC